Molecule: non-coding RNA, 74 nt
Organism: Podarcis lilfordi (Lilford's wall lizard)
Lineage: Eukaryota; Metazoa; Chordata; Lepidosauria; Squamata; Lacertidae
Source: the annotation of a GenBank genome assembly
AGAUCUAUAGCUCAGUUGGUAGAGCAUGAGCCUCUUAAUCUCAGUGCGAUGCGUUUGAGCUGCACAUUGGGCGA